UCUCUACAUUUACACAUUCUGUCAAUUUAGUCCUAAUUCUAAAAUUUUUUAAAAAAUAUUUUUAGCCCUUUAUAACCUAUCGACUAACUAGUGAUGGUAACGGGUGGGGUGGUUUUUGCCCACUCCGACUCAAUCUUGACUUUAAAAAAAUUUGACCUGCUCUGAACCCGAACUUUGACCCAAAAAUUAAUAGUAUACCUGGCUCCAAUACAUUCCAACCCGUUUAUUUUUUAUUUUUAAUUUUCUUGUAAAAUUAUUAUUAAUUAAUUUCUUUUAAAAGAUGAAAAGUUUAGCACG
Molecule: long non-coding RNA, 297 nt
Filed under: Gossypium raimondii (Peruvian cotton)
Lineage: Eukaryota; Viridiplantae; Streptophyta; Magnoliopsida; Malvales; Malvaceae
Description: long non-coding RNA (GRAI_LNC000208)
Source: RNAcentral